CCACGGAGGAGGAGGCGGUGGUCGUGUUAUCGAACGGCCCGCCGGUGGAAGUUGCGCUGCAGGGGUGGGACUUUUUCUGCAGUCGGUCUGUCGGUGGAGAUGCGUCUGGCAGCGCGUUCCACACUCCAGCAGAGAGAGAGAGAGGAAGAAGGACACCUCCGAGCUGAACACUAACCUCCUCCUCUCCUCCUCCUCUCCUCCUCCUCUCCUCCUCUCCUCCUCCUCCUCCUUGUACUUGGAUGCUGUCUGGAUCCGGAUGCGCUGAUCCGAGCGGAGUGUGGACGCCGUUUCCCUCCCUCCUCCACCGGCCCCGGGACGCGUAAACCGGACCUGCCCCGGUGUCAUUGGAUGGAGAGAGGCGCGUGAAGAAGGGAGAGAGCGGUGGAGUUGGUCUACCCUCCUCCUCCUCCUCCUCCUCCUCUUUCUUCCCUACUGCACCAAAAAGAAAACUCCGGGCUGCCUGCAGCACCAUGUCCUCGGCUCACAGUGGGGAUAUAUCAGGCUACCAUCUGAGUGUGGUGCGUAACCCACCAGGCUGGGAGGUGGGGAUAUACCUGGUGGGUUUCUUCGUGCUGUUGGGAGUAGCCGGGCUCAACAUCUGGAAGCUGUGGAAAUCUGGAACCUUCCCCGCACCGUCCCCCUUCCCAAAUUUUGACUAUCGGUAUCUGCAAGAAAAAUAUGGAACCUCCUUUUCAGAAGUCCGACAAAAGAGAGUGGCAGCCAACAACCACCGGCGCACCUCUACCACGUCCAGCCGUAAGCCCAGCCUGGCCCUCGGCGACACCCCAGAUGGCUUCAGGGACCUGGGCCACCUGGAGCUGAUGAGCAGAGAGCUGGACCCGACGGGCCUGGCCCAACUCAACCGCUCCAUUUCCACCGACUCGCUCAGCUCCAUCUCCUCCAUCGCCAACAAUUUCGGUCACGACUUUACCGUCGGCCAGCUGGAGGUGACCUUGGAGUUCGAGCAGUCCCGGCACCCAGGUCACGGGACAGGUCUGCUUCACAUCACCCUGCACCAGGGCAAAGACCUGCUGGAGAGGGAGGAGGGAGACUUCCCAGGAUGCUUCAUCAGAGUGUCCCUGGGACCAGAGGAACUCAACGUGGGAGUCACAAGAGUCCAGACGAAUGCGUUUACGGUGAUUUUCGAUGAACGCUUCUCCAUCCCUGUGGACUUGGCCAGUCUGGAGGAGUACAGUCUGCGCUUUGCUGCUUUCGGUAUUGACGCUGAUGAGAGAAACAUCAGUGCAGGAGUAGCGGACCUUAAGCUGUCAGACCUGGACCUGACCAUCAGACCGUUUAACGCCUGGCUCUACCUUCAGGAUGUCAACAAGGCUGUGGAUGCCGUCGGGGAGAUCCUGUUGUCUCUCAGUUACCUGCCGACUGCAGAGCGCCUCACAGUGGUGGUGGCCAAGUGCAAGAACCUGGUGUGGACCAACGGCAAGACCACUGCAGAUCCAUUUGUCAAAGUGUAUCUACUGCAAGACGGCAGGAAAAUUAGCAAGAAGAAGACUUCGACUAAAAGAGAUGACACAAACCCCAUCUUCAACGAAGCCAUGAUCUUCUCUGUGCCGUCCAUCGUCCUGCAGGAACUGUCCCUGAGGGUGACUGUGGCAGAGGCUACAGACGACGGCCGGGGUGAGAACCUGGGCCAUGUGAUCAUCGGCCCUGAGGCCAGUGGGAUCGGGAUCACCCACUGGAACCAGAUGUUGGCCACCCUGAGGAAACCUGUGUCCAUGUGGCAUCCUCUACGCAGGAUCUAGACCUGUCUGUCACACGUGUCUGAAGUGAAACAUUUGCUUUUUCAUGUUUCUUUCACCUCUUCCUCCUGUUUUUUUAGUGCCAUUCUCAAAUCUGUUACAGUUUUAGUAUGAAAGGUUUUACAUUAUGGUCCACUGAGGGAUUCAGUGUGUUUUCUCAUGAAGGUGGAGGAACCUGAAAAGCCAGUGUUUGACGCUGAUUUGGUGAUUUUACGCUGAAAUGUCCUUUAGAAUCUGCUUUGUUCUGUCACAGGAAUCUGAGGUUAAUUUAUAAUGAAAACCACUGAAACAAAUGAGGAAAUUACAAAUGAUGAUCCUGUACAGCAGUGAUCAUCAACAUUUACUGAUUAUAUCAAAAUCAGAUUGAACAUGCGUUUUCCCAAUCCAUCAUCUGUUAGUUUUUUACUUGAGGAGCCAAGACAACAUGCUGUAAUCUUUUCCCACUUUUCAGAAACACUGCAUAACAGAGUCAGAAACGACUCAGUUUGUUAAACAUUUCCUUCCACUCAGUUGUUUCUGCAGUUAAAUGAACUGCAUCCUGCAUUCUGUCGGACUGUUGCUGCCUUCACGUGUUAUGGCAAUUAUAGUAAAUACUAAUUACAAACUCAAAAAUUGCACAUGAACGCCCCCUCGUGUCAUAUUUUUCACUGGAAAAUUGGGAAAAAAACUGUUCAUACACAAGCUGCCAAGAUGAAAUAACCUUUGGCCUUUUUGACAUGGCGGAGAGCAACAAGGGAUUCAUCAUGAAUGAUAAACAAUACUUUUAUUAACGUUCUGCUACGGUUAACUGUUGAUUUUGCACAUUUAUAGUAUAUACAUAAUUUGUAAAAAAAAAAAAAAAAAAAAAAAUAGCAGUAGCAGCUAUGUUAACACAUCCAAAACUGUUUCACCCAUGUAGCAGGUCACAAUAAACUGUGUGUCAGAAAUUUUUCAUUCUGUUACGACAACAAAA
Sphaeramia orbicularis (orbiculate cardinalfish) is the source of this 2709-nucleotide RNA transcript. It is a transcript of the gene named synaptotagmin XII, with no coding region annotated. The transcript is spliced from 9 exons. The record is from RefSeq and is a predicted model, not a curated record. Lineage: Eukaryota; Metazoa; Chordata; Actinopteri; Kurtiformes; Apogonidae.